RNAcentral lists this ribosomal RNA (468 nucleotides) under uncultured bacterium. RNAcentral's name for it is "partial 16S ribosomal RNA". It matches the Rfam family "Bacterial small subunit ribosomal RNA", at positions 28 to 507 of the family's 1533-position model. The record is from RNAcentral.
GACGAACGCUGGCGGCGUGCUUAACACAUGCAAGUCGAACGGAAAGGCCCUGCUCUUGUGGGGUGCUCGUGUGGCGAACGGGUGAGUAACACGUGAGUAACCUGCCCUUGACUUUGGGAUAACACUAGGAAACUGGGGCUCAUACAGGAUAGGAGCUCCUGCAGCACGGUGGGCGUUGGUAAGUUUCGGCGGUUGGGGAUGGACUCGCGGGUUAUCAGCUUGUUGGUGGGGUAGUGGCUUACCAAGGCUUUGACGGGUAGCCGACGUGGGAGGGUGGCCGGCCACAAUGGGACUAAGAGACGGCCCAGACGGCUACGGGAGGCAACGGUGGGAAAUAUUACACAGUGGGCGGAAGCCUGAUGCGGCGACGCCGCGUUCGGAAAGACGGCCUUCGGGUGAUGAACCGCUUUCGCCUGUGACGAAGCGUGAGUGACGGUAAUGGAUAAAGAAGCACCGGCUAACUACGUG